Molecule: ribosomal RNA, 215 nt
Filed under: uncultured bacterium
Lineage: Bacteria
Description: partial 16S ribosomal RNA
Rfam family: Bacterial small subunit ribosomal RNA
Source: RNAcentral
UGCGUAGGUGGCGCCGUAAGUCGGGUGUGAAAUUUCGGAGCUUAACUCCGAAACUGCAUUCGAUACUGCGGUGCUUGAGGACUGGGAGAGGAGACUGGAAUUCAUGGUGUAGCAGUGAAAUGCGUAGAGAUCAUGAGGAAGACCAGUGGCGAAGGCGGGUCUCUGGACAGUUCCUGACACUGAGGCACGAAGGCCAGGGGAGCCGAAAAACCGGG